UGGGGAAUUUUGGACAAUGGGCGAAAGCCUGAUCCAGCCAUGCCGCGUGAGUGAAGAAGGCCUUCGGGUUGUAAAGCUCUUUCGCAAGGAAAGAAAACUUAUCCUCUAAUACGGGAUGAGGUUGACGGUACCUUGAUAAGAAGCACCGGCUAACUACGUGCCAGCAGCCGCGGUAAUACGUAGGGUGCGAGCGUUAAUCGGAAUUACUGGGCGGAAAGCGUGCGCAGGCGGUUUUGUAAGUCAGAUGUGAAAUCCCCGGGCUCAACCUGGGAACUGCGUUUGAAACUACAAGGCUAGAGUGUAGAAGAGGGGGGUAGAAUUCCACGUGUAGCAGUGAAAUGCGUAGAGAUGUGGAGGAAUACCGAUGGCGAAGGCAGCCCCCUGGGCUAACACUGACGCUCAUGCACGAAAGCGUGGGGAGCAA
RNAcentral lists this ribosomal RNA (424 nucleotides) under uncultured bacterium. RNAcentral's name for it is "bacterial SSU rRNA". It matches the Rfam family "Bacterial small subunit ribosomal RNA", at positions 355 to 771 of the family's 1533-position model. The record is from RNAcentral.